RNAcentral lists this long non-coding RNA (249 nucleotides) under Carica papaya (papaya). RNAcentral's name for it is "long non-coding RNA (CPAP_LNC003239)". Lineage: Eukaryota; Viridiplantae; Streptophyta; Magnoliopsida; Brassicales; Caricaceae. The record is from RNAcentral.
AUGCAUCUUCAUUGGUUAUAGCAUGGAAACAAAGGGCUACAAGCUGUACAACCUAAAGACCCAAAAGGUAAUCAUUAGCCAUGAUGUUACUUUUGAUGAAUAUGGAGUAUGGAAAUGGUCUGAAAAAGAAAAGAUAUCACUAUCUGUUCUGGUGUUCGUAAAUAAUGAAAUAGAAAUAAGUAAUCGCACUGGUGAGCAGUCUUCUCCUCCAGUUUUUAAAGAAUCUUCUAGUGUCACUCCAGAAUCUUC